RNAcentral lists this ribosomal RNA (253 nucleotides) under uncultured bacterium. RNAcentral describes it as "partial 16S ribosomal RNA". It matches the Rfam family "Bacterial small subunit ribosomal RNA", at positions 524 to 776 of the family's 1533-position model. The record is from RNAcentral.
UACGUAGGGUGCGAGCGUUAAUCGGAAUUACUGGGCGUAAAGCGUGCGCAGGCGGUUUUGUAAGCCAGAUGUGAAAUCCCCGGGCUUAACCUGGGAACUGCAUUUGGGACUGCAAGGCUUGAGUGCGGCAGAGGAGACUGGAAUUCCUGGUGUAGCAGUGAAAUGCGUAGAUAUCAGGAGGAAUACCGAUGGCGAAGGCAGGUCUCUGGGCCACUACUGACGCUGAGAAGCGAAAGCAUGGGGAGCGAACAGG